RNAcentral lists this ribosomal RNA (495 nucleotides) under uncultured bacterium. Its description in RNAcentral is "partial 16S ribosomal RNA". It matches the Rfam family "Bacterial small subunit ribosomal RNA", at positions 28 to 507 of the family's 1533-position model. The record is from RNAcentral.
GACGAACGCUGGCGGCGUGCCUAAUACAUGCAAGUAGAACGCUGAAGGAGGGGCUUGCUCUUCUGGAUGAGUUGCGAACGGGUGAGUAACGCGUAGGUAACCUGCCUGGUAGCGGGGGAUAACUAUUGGAAACGAUAGCUAAUACCGCAUAAGAGUAGAUGUUGCAUGACAUUUACUUAAAAGGUGCAAUUGCAUCACUACCAGAUGGACCUGCGUUGUAUUAGCUAGUUGGUGGGGUAACGGCUUACCAAGGCGACGAUACAUAGCCGACCUGAGAGGGGGAUCGGCCACACUGGGACUGAGACACGGCCCAGACUCCUACGGGAGGCAGCAGUAGGGAAUCUUCGGCAAUGGACGGAAGUCUGACCGAGCAACGCCGCGUGAGUGAAGAAGGUUUUCGGAUCGUAAAGCUCUGUUGUAAGAGAAGAACGAGUGUGAGAGUGGAAAGUUCACACUGUGACGGUAUCUUACCAGAAAGGGACGGCUAACUACGUG